GGCCAGGCCGCGGGCUGUCCCAGGGAGCCCCGAGGGCGCGGUGCGCGGGCGCAGGUCGGGCGCAGGCGGGGUGACCCGGGGAAGGGGCGCGCACAGAGACAGAGGGAGCCAGCCGGGCCCCGCGGUGUCCUCGGACGCCUCCGAAAUCUCCCUGCGUGUUUGUUUCUUCGGAGCUUCACCGGAGCCUGACUCUGGACCCGGCCUGUCUGCCUGCUGCAGUCUGUCAUUCAACAUUUAUUCAACCAAAAAUACUAAGUCAGCUCUAUACAAACUAAUGGAAGGAUACAGCUAUGCAAAUACAGAAGAACACUAAACUGUUACAUGACAGAUGUAUGAGGGGAAGAGUGCUGGAUUCAGAGCCCACCUCAGGGGAAGACAGGACGCUCUCCAAGAUGGUUUCCCUAGAAGCUACUACCUCUCCCUGGAGGGUGGAGAUAUUUGCUGGUCAAAGA
RNAcentral lists this long non-coding RNA (452 nucleotides) under Pan troglodytes (chimpanzee). Its description in RNAcentral is "long non-coding RNA NONPTRT016416". The record is from RNAcentral. Lineage: Eukaryota; Metazoa; Chordata; Mammalia; Primates; Hominidae.